GAGUAAGAGCGCAUGACGGAUGUCUUGGCGUCGAGAGGCGAUGAAGGACGCAGGAACCUGCGAUAAGCCACGGGGAGCCGGUAACCAGGCCUCGAUCCGUGGGUUUCCGAAUGGGGCAACCCACCCGCAAGGGUACUUCACUCUGAAUGCAUAGGGGUGAAGAGCGAACGUGCUGAAGUGAAACAUCUCAGUAGGCACAGGAAAAGAAAGCAACCGCGAUUCCGUGAGUAGCGGCGAGCGAAAGCGGAUCAGCCAGUGGACGAGUGAAGCGUUUGAAUGACGCGCCGAAGAAGGUGAAAGCCCUGUAACCGAAAGCUGGUGAGCACAUCGAGUAGAUUCGGGCUCGGGAAACCCGGAUUGAACAUGGGGGGUCCACCCUCCAAUGCUAAAUACUCCUCGACGACCGAUAGCGAAUCAGUAAGGCGACUGAACGAUGAAAAGCACCGCGAUGAGCGGAGUGAAAGAGCACCUGAAAUCAUGCGCUUACAAGCGGUCGGAGUCCUUCGGGAUGACGGCGUGCUUUUUGCAUAAUGAGCCGGCGAGUUGGUCUGUACGGCGAGCCUAAGGUCUACCGGACCGGAGGCGGAGCGAAAGCGAGUCUGAGAAGGGCGUGCAGUCGUACGGGCCAGACGCGAAACCUUGUGAUCUACCGUUGGACAGACUGAAGGGCGGGUAACACCGCCUGGAGGGUCGAACGGGUGACCGUUGAAAAGGUCUCCGAUGAUCUGACGGGAGGGUUCAAAGUACAAUCAAACUGGGAGAUAGCUCGUUCUUUCCGAAAUAACUCUAGGGUUAGCCUCAGGCGGCAAGUGUUGGGGGUAGAGCUACUGGAUGAAGCAAAGGGUCUACCCGACUACUUUCUUCAACCAAACUCCGAAUACCAAUACCCAAGGCCUGGGAGAUAGACGGUGAGUGACAAUAUCCAUCGUCAAAAGGAGAACAAUCCUGAUCGCCAGCUAAGGUCCCUCAUCUCUGCUCAGUUCGAAAGGAAGUUGGGUUGCUGUGACAUCCAGGAUGUUGGCUUAGAAGCAGCCAUCAUUUAAAGAGUGCGUAACAGCUCACUGGACGAGGAACUCAGCGCCGAUAAUGAUCGGGAAUAAGCAGAGAGCCGAAGCUGCGGGCGUCGUAAGACGCGGUAGGAAAGCGUUCCAGGCGCGGCGAAGCCGUCCCGUAAGGGUUGGUGGAGCGCCCGGAAGUGAAUAUGCCGGCUUGAGUAACGAUUAACAAGGUGAGAAUCCUUGUCGCCAUAUACCCAAGGUUUCCUGGGGAAGGUCAUUCCGCCCAGGGUGAGCCGGGACCUAAGACGAGGCCGAAAGGCGUAGUCGAUGGACAGCAGGUUAAAAUUCCUGCGCCAGCAUCGGGAACGGAUCGUUGAGCUCCGCGGGACUGUCAGAUGUCCAGGCCCUUGUGGCCGAAGCGGGGGGAGACGGUUCCUAGAAAAGCCGGUGCAUAGCCCGUACCAAAACUGACACAGGUGGGUGAGGCGAAUAGCCUCAGGCGCGCGAGAGAACGGUCGUGAAGGAACUAGGCAAGUUAACCCCGUAAGUUAGCGAGAAGGGGGGCCUCCCCGCGCAAGCGGAAGGCCGCAGAGAAAAGGGUCUGGGAACUGUUUAUCAAAAACACAGCUCUGUGCCAAGACGCAAGUCGACGUAUACAGAGUGACGCUUGCCCGAUGCCGGAAUGUCAAGGAAGCGGGUCAUCGAAAGAGAAGCUCGUGACCGAAGCACCGGUGAAUGGCGGCCGUAACUAUGACGGUCCUAAGGUAGCGAAGUUCCUUGUCGGGUAAGUUCCGACGCGCAUGAAUAGCGUAAUCACUGGACUCCUGUCUCCACGACCGACUCGGUGAAAUAGUAGUGGCGGUGAAGAUGCCGCCUCCCCGCAGCAAGACGGAAAGACCCCGUGGACCUUCACUGCAGUCUUGUAUUGGCCACGAGCAUUCACUGCGUAGCAUAGGUGGGAGCCUUCGACGCCCGGAUUCCGGUCCGGGAAGAGGCACAGGUGAAAUACCACCCUGUGUACGUUUGUGGCCUAACCCUGAGUCCCGUGAAUCCGGGCAGGGAACAGUGCAUGACGGGCAGUUUGACUGGGGCGGUCUCCUCCAAAAAUGUAACGGAGGAGUGCAAAGGUCGGCUCAGCACGGAUGGAAACCGUGUGUCGAGUGCAAGAGCACAAGCCGGCUUUACUGCGAGACCGACGGGUCGAGCAGUCUCGAAAGAGGGCUCUAGUGAUCCUGCGAUCCCGUGUGGAAGGGUCGUAGCUCAUCGGAUAAAAGGUACCCCGGGGAUAACAGGCUGAUCGCGCCCGAGCGUCCAUAGCGGCGGCGCGGUUUGGCACCUCGAUGUCGGCCCAUCACAUCCUGGGACUGAAGGCGGCCCCAAGGGUUCGGCUGUUCGCCGAUUAAAGUGGUACGCGAGCUGGGUUCAGACCGGCGUGAGCCAGGUCGGUCCCUAUCUGCUGUGGGCGUUCCAAGCUUGAGAGGAGUCAACCUUAGUACGAGAGGAUUGGGUUGGACGGACCCCUGGUGAUCCAGUUGCACUGCUAAGUGCACCGCUGGGUAGCUACGUCUGGCAGGGAUAACCGCUGAAAGCAUCUAAGCGGGAAGCCCCCCUCAAGAUAAGGCUUGGUUGUCGCAAGACGAAAGACCCCUGGUAGACCACCAGGUUGAUAGGCCGCGCGUGUACAAGCAGAAAUGCUUUGAGCGGAGCGGUCCUAACGGUCG
RNAcentral lists this ribosomal RNA (2719 nucleotides) under Phycisphaerae bacterium. Its description in RNAcentral is "23S ribosomal RNA". It matches the Rfam family "Bacterial large subunit ribosomal RNA". Lineage: Bacteria; Pseudomonadati; Planctomycetota; Phycisphaerae. The record is from RNAcentral.